AGGAAGAACCGGUAGGAGGAAUAACAGACAUUCUUUUGGCCACUCCCUAUCACUCCCAAACCCUGAACUCUGGAGUGUUUACCCAAAGCAUGAUUUUUGGGUCAGAAGAGAAGUGUGAACAGGAACCGGAGGGAAACAGAGUGGAGAGGUAAUUAGCCAAGCCAGGACCAUAUGUGGAGAGGAGAGAACCCCAGGAAAGUUAACUUUGAGAACCGUACUUCUUCAUUCAACAGCUAUUUUCCAAACCCUACUAUAUAUACCAGGGCAAAAUAAACUGUCAACUAGAAUGAAGUUUCUUGCCUUCCCUACACAACCUUUGCCUCAUUUCUCUGCCAAACAUCUCUUAACUGCAGGGAAGGUCCCUGGAGACUCCAAUGGUGCUGCAACCCUGCACAAUUUGCUUUGGAAGAAAACUAUGGCAAAACACAGGUCCCUUCAUUUUAGGAGUGGAAGGUGCUCUACAUCAAAUGCAGAAGAGUAGGAAGAUUGCCUUAGAGAUCCGGGCUUUUGAACUUCCUCUCCGGAGAGCUGGCCUUGCUAACCUCCAAAGAGCCUGUUUAUAGAUUGUUCGCUCAGCAAGGAAAUAUGCUCUUCGGGACAGAAAGGAUACCCUGCAGUCACCAGCCCAAUAAAAUCAACUUAACUAACAUAAAUUGUUAAAGAACUCAUUGGAGAGGUGACGGGGUGUGACAGGAAAAGCCCUUAACUAGAAGUUACAAGGUGGGAACUGUACUCCCAGGGCUGAAACGUAAUAACCAUGUGACU
Molecule: long non-coding RNA, 765 nt
Organism: Canis lupus familiaris (dog)
Lineage: Eukaryota; Metazoa; Chordata; Mammalia; Carnivora; Canidae
Exons: 3
Source: RefSeq, a predicted model, not a curated record